This 301-nucleotide ribosomal RNA is filed under the name uncultured bacterium. RNAcentral describes it as "partial 16S ribosomal RNA". It matches the Rfam family "Bacterial small subunit ribosomal RNA", at positions 509 to 807 of the family's 1533-position model. The record is from RNAcentral.
CAGCCGCCGCGGUAAUACGAAGGGUGCAAGCGUUAAUCGGAAUUACUGGGCGUAAAGCGUGCGUAGGCGGUUUGUUAAGUCUGCUGUGAAAUCCCCGGGCUCAACCUGGGAAUGGCAGUGGAUACUGGCAAGCUAGAGUGUGUCAGAGGAUGGUGAAAUUCCCGGUGUAGCGGUGAAAUGCGUAGAGAUCGGGAGGAACAUCAGUGGCGAAGGCGGCCAUCUGGGACAACACUGACGCUGAGGCACGAAAGCGUGGGGAGCAAACAGGAUUAGAUACCCGCGUAGUCCCUGUCUCUUAUAC